Lucilia sericata (common green bottle fly) is the source of this 288-nucleotide long non-coding RNA. RefSeq lists it as uncharacterized. The record is from RefSeq and is a predicted model, not a curated record. Lineage: Eukaryota; Metazoa; Arthropoda; Insecta; Diptera; Calliphoridae. The transcript is spliced from 2 exons.
UUCUAAUAUAUAUGCCGGGGUCUGUUAAGUUUUUCGAUCGUCAAUAUUAAUAUGAAACUGUUUCUAUUUGUACUUGUAGCUGGUUACAUUGCUGCCGGUGUAAUGGCUGAUCCAGAAGAACCCUGCUUCGUAAACUCUGGUUAUGCUACUUUAAGAAAAAAAGACUUUCAUUAAUUUAGUGAAUUGAUUUAAUGAAGCCGAAAUAUUCUUCAGAUAUGCAACCUCCUCAUAAUGAUUUUAACUGAAUGAAAACAAAUCAAAAUAAAAAAUUUUAAUAAAUAAAAUAAA